CCUACGGGUGGCAGCAGUGAGGAAUAUUGGUCAAUGGGCGGAAGCCUGAACCAGCCAAGUAGCGUGCAGGAUGACGGCCCUACGGGUUGUAAACUGCUGUUAUACGGGAAUAACGCGCCUUACGUGUAGGGCUUUGCAUGUACCGUAUGAAUAAGGACAGGCUAAUUCCGUGCCAGCAGCCGCGGUCAUACGGAAGGUCCGGGCGUUAGCCGGAUUUAUUGGGUUUAAAGGGAGCGUAGGCCGCAUGGCAAGGGUGCUGUGAAAUGUCCGGGCUCAACCCGGGCCUUGCAGCGCUAACUGGCGUGCUUGAGUCCGCGGCAAGCAGGCGGCAUUCGUCGUGUAGCGG
Molecule: ribosomal RNA, 346 nt
Filed under: uncultured bacterium
Lineage: Bacteria
Description: partial 16S ribosomal RNA
Rfam family: Bacterial small subunit ribosomal RNA
Source: RNAcentral